Molecule: ribosomal RNA, 284 nt
Filed under: uncultured bacterium
Lineage: Bacteria
Description: partial 16S ribosomal RNA
Rfam family: Bacterial small subunit ribosomal RNA
Source: RNAcentral
CGCUUCCUACGGGGGGCAGCAGUGGGGGAUAUUGCACAAUGGGGGAAACCCUGAUGCAGCGACGCCGCGUGUGGGAAGACGGUCUUCUGGAUUUUAAACCACUGUCCCCAGGGACGAAAAUGACGGUACCUGGGGAGGAAGCUCCGGCUAACUACGUGCCAGCAGCCGCGGUAAUACGUAGGGAGCAAGCGUUGUCCGGAAUUACUGGGUGUAAAGGGAGCGUAGGCGGGGAUGCAAGUUGGGGGUCAAAACUAUCGGCUCAACCGAUAGGAGCACUCAAAACU